GAUGAACGCUGGCGGCGUGCCUAAUACAUGCAAGUCGAACGGGGAGUAGCAAUACUCUUAGUGGCGAACGGGUGAGUAACGCGUUGGUACCUGCCCCGAAGCGGGGGAUAACGGACCGAAAGGUCCGCUAAUACCCCAUGUGCUCGGUAACGAGUAAAGGUGAAAACCACUUUGGGAGGGGCCUGCGUCCCAUCAGCUAGUUGGUAAGGUAACGGCUUACCAAGGCGAUGACGGGUAGGGGACCUGAGAGGGUGGCCCCCCACAAUGGAACUGAAACACGGUCCAUACACCUACGGGUGGCAGCAGUAGGGAAUAUUGGUAAUGGGCGCAAGCCUGAACCAGCAGCGCCGCGUGUGCGAUGACGGCCUUCGGGUUGUAAAGCACUUUUGACUGGGACGAGGAAGGACGGUACCGGUCGAAUCAGCCUCGGCUAACUACGUG
Molecule: ribosomal RNA, 441 nt
Filed under: uncultured bacterium
Lineage: Bacteria
Description: partial 16S ribosomal RNA
Rfam family: Bacterial small subunit ribosomal RNA
Source: RNAcentral